UCAUAAGAGAACAGCAAUUGUGUCAUCUUUCUUUUAUGAAAAUUCUGUCUAUGCUGUUCACUUCCGUCCGUUGUUGGAAGCUGCGUCUUAUCAGUGCAAAAGUGGAGUGGAUAUUAAAUGCUUUUCCUGCAUGCUUAUUAAUCUUUCUCAGUGGUCUACCUUAUUCUUAGUGCCUUCUUUACAAAUAUUAUGAUGUUGCAUGGCAAGGUUGAAAUUGCAUCAGUUGGACUUCAAACAUAAUUCUCUUCCUAAUCUGCAGCAAAACUUCUCCUUUUCCUUGCUUUAUCUCUCCUAUUAGGUCGCCAUUAUGCAUUUGAGAAGGCUCAUGAGAUUGACCCAACAUCAGCUGGACGGGGUGUUCGCCAGUUUAAGACCAAUUUCUUAUACAGACUUGAGAAGAUUCUUUGUCAGAGGAUGUAAAACGAGUUGGGAAUCUAGCUGUUAGAUAUAGAAUCUGAGACCUUGCUUUAAUGUCCAAGAUAAGUAAACAAAGCAAGUCUGAUCACCAAAGUAGCAGCAAUAAAUCGAAAGGGCAGGGAAUGGCACUGCCUCGUAGCUCGCAGCAGCCGGAAAGUAAGCAAGGUCAAAGCGGGCAGAUCCAAAGUGUAAUUAGUGGAAGCUUGGUAAAAAGUUUGGCGGUCUUGGAUGAAUUCAAGUAUGGAUUUCCAUCGAAUGGCUUGUCUGUCACCUCAAAUAAGUGGUGGGGAAGUGGCAGUCCAGGAGAUUUUGCGUACAUAGAUGCAACUGAAACUGGCAGAGAAUGCAGACCGAAGUGGCGGCAAUGUGGCAGAUGAUGGAUCCAAUGCUGAAAAGAAACUGAAGGUGAGAAAGAGACCAGCAAUGCCACUCUCCGGGGUGCUAGUUUGCCAAGGGCUAUAAGAAAAAGAGCCCUCGAAGAAGGAAGGGAGGCACUCAAGCUGGGUGUUUUUAUGAGCCACCAUGCUCAUAAGAUAGGCAAGGAAGAGAAAUCAGUGAUGCUCAAUAUUUUUUGAUGUUCACUGCCAAAGGGAUGGAUCAAUGAUUAAGUUUAAUCUGAGGGAUACUCAAAAAGUCAAAAACUGUAAUGUAAGUGAUUGACUUCUUAAUUACUGUAGUUGGACAUAAUGCUCGAAAGAAAUGUUGCUUAUUUCUCUCAAAUUCUGACUCUCAAAUGUUGCGGUACUCCAUUCAGUAUUAUAUUCUUUUCAUCCGUCUGUUGCUUCUGUUGGUAUUUUCAUUUGUUGAGCAGCAAGAAAAGAAGAUUGAUUUGCUGGAAUGGGAUUUACAUUUCUCAAUCC
Molecule: long non-coding RNA, 1277 nt
Organism: Eucalyptus grandis
Lineage: Eukaryota; Viridiplantae; Streptophyta; Magnoliopsida; Myrtales; Myrtaceae
Exons: 3
Source: RefSeq, a predicted model, not a curated record